UUUCGUAGCAACCGUUGACAUUUUGAUAUUUUUGUUCAGAAUUUUUGUUUCAUGUUUGAUUUAAGGAGGCAAAUUGAAAUAAAUUCGAUUGAAUCCGAAUAUUUCCGAAACGACAAGCAAAUAUUACCGCCUCGGAACCUCUGGGAUUUAUUCCACAAAGAGGAGGAAGAUGAGUAAGUACAUAACUGCAAUCUCCAAAUUGUAUCGGCGUCACUACGACACGUGAUAAAAGUCGGCAAAACUUAACAAUCCAAGCCUAUCGUCCGAGGGAUGUGUCUGGAGCAUCUUCAGACAGACAACACUAGUGUUCGAAAGUAAAAAAUUUCUUGAAAAAACUUCAACGGGUUCCUACAUUCAAACGUGAUAGUAAAUUUCUGCUCUGUGCUAUCUACUGCCCCACUCGGAGAAACUCACGAUGAUGCGAACCUAAGAAUCUCUUUUGCUUAUCCGCUGGUACGGAACUCGCAAUACGCCCGUAUCGCGCAAUUUUAGCAUCGAUCAGAAGUGGGACUCAUUUCAGGCAACGCGUUUCCAGCAAGAAAACAGACCAUUUCCAACCGACGAUGAAGGUUUGCCAUUGCCACUGACAGUCCGAGAGAGAUCUAGAACAAAAUCUGUUCACCCAUACACCAAAUAUUUCAUCAACGCUUCGUUUCGACUACGAAGAUAUGAAACUGGAUCCAUUGCUUCAAAACUGAAGAGCUAACUAGCUGUAGCACGCAGUCGGAGAAGAUUCUAAACAACGCCAAGCUACUGUCUCUAGUUAGUGAGAAGAAAUUAUGGCCAUCGUUACUCAAGUGCUAAUUAAACGGGAACUGGGCCAUGCCACAUUCGACGCCUAACCGCAAUCGUUCAGAUCGAAGAAAAAUACCGCUUGCUUGAAAACAGCUGUGCCGAAAACAGCAGCCACAGCUUAGUAGUUCCUAAGAUAAAGUUGAACAGGAAGCAAUCAGAAUGGAUAAUAUGGACAUGUGGAUCAACGAUGUUAACAUCGUGCUGACAUCGAAAGUUUCCAUUCAUGGAUUUAUCGGAAAACAAGAGAAAUAGUUGUACAUGCUGUGCCUUUGAACGAUGGAUGAUGGCAGUCGUCUAACCGCAACUCUAAUCCUACUCUUCACGAAGAUGUGUCUCACUGGUAGAAAAAUUUAUGAUGGGAUGGAGAACAUUUAAGUCGCUUCACUCACGGGAAUUGACCUGGUGUUUCAAGGUACAUGCCGCCAAAUGGUACAUAGCAGAAGUGCUAUUGCAGGAAAUUGGAACAGAAAUGGAAAAUACGUCGAACGUGAAAGUUUUGUAUCCCAACUACUGUCAUGUCCUUUUAAACAAGGAUAAUAGUAGUAUCUUGGAGUAGAAAAAGAAAUAUUUUUUUCUUUUCAUUCUAUCUGAAGAUUAAAAACCGCCUCAAACCGAUGCAAAACUCGUAGAAACUCGACUUUGAAGCUACUAGCAUUUUCUUCGGACAAACAAGAUUUUUUUGUAUUGGCUAAACGCAACGAAAUCGAAUCGUGUUUUUCGCUUGAGCAGGAGAUUAUACAAAAGUUAAUUUUGGAGGCCUACACGGACUUUCGAUUUUGAUGAACCUAACGAAUAAAGUAGUGAAUAUUGGUUCGAUAUGUCCCGCAACGGAGCUUUGGUUGCUUCGUAUCAUAGCUGCAAUGCCUGCACGUAAUAAAGCUACACCAGAAGCCGAUCUACUGGCAUUACCUCAGCUACAACAAUCGUUCAUCGAUCGAACUUUGAAUUGAUCUGCUUUCUCCUGUGAUACAAAAUGAUCAACUGCGCAAAGCGCAGAUUAUUACCUUGUAAGAUUUAACCAUGAAAGAAUUGAGCGAUGGAACGCUCGAAAAUCUUAAGGAAACAGAUUAUCUGCGAAUUGUUACUAAUUGCCAGCAGCAACACCCAUACCUUAAUAAACCAAUCGUAUGCUGUAUGGCGGACGUUCUUGGAUUGUUGACUUUGAAUUGAUCAAAGUGUAAAGAGGUGUAAACAAACCCCAAAAUUUUAAUCUAUUGUGAAAAACACAGUCAUCCGGAUGAGUGAAAAUAGCGAAACACAAAAUUGUUUCAAGACUGCAAAUUAAGGUAGCUGAACAAAAAUCUGUGUACAAUAUGAAGAUGGAUAAAAAGGAGAAGGCAAGGAGAAGGAGAAAUGGCCGUUGGGUGGACUGAUUUGCAUCCGUCGUAAAACCGGUUGGAGAGCCUGCGGACAUGGUCAUGAGAAACGUGACCAUCCAGGACGUUCGGACAAAAGAUUGAAACUUUGAUUCGACAAAAUAAAUUGAAAUUUUA
Long non-coding RNA from Wyeomyia smithii (pitcher-plant mosquito), 2288 nucleotides. RefSeq lists it as uncharacterized. The record is from RefSeq and is a predicted model, not a curated record. The transcript has 7 exons. NCBI's taxonomy places the organism in Eukaryota, Metazoa, Arthropoda, Insecta, Diptera, Culicidae.